GUGCCAGCCGCCGCGGUAAUACGGAGGGUGCAAACGUUGCUCGGAAUCAUUGGGCGUAAAGCGCACGUAGGCGGCUCGUUAAGUCGGAUGUGAAAGCCCUCGGCUCAACCGAGGAAGUGCAUACGAAACUGGCGAGCUUGAAUAUGGAAGAGGGUCGCGGAAUUCCCGGUGUAGAGGUGAAAUUCGUAGAUAUCGGGAGGAACACCAGUGGCGAAGGCGGCGACCUGGGCCAAUAUUGACGCUGAGGUGCGAAAGCGUGGGGAGCAAACAGGAUUAGAAACCCUGGUAGUCC
Molecule: ribosomal RNA, 292 nt
Filed under: uncultured bacterium
Lineage: Bacteria
Description: partial 16S ribosomal RNA
Rfam family: Bacterial small subunit ribosomal RNA
Source: RNAcentral